This 245-nucleotide ribosomal RNA is filed under the name uncultured bacterium. RNAcentral describes it as "partial 16S ribosomal RNA". It matches the Rfam family "Bacterial small subunit ribosomal RNA", at positions 524 to 768 of the family's 1533-position model. The record is from RNAcentral.
UACGUAGGGGGCAAGCGUUGUCCGGAAUCACUGGGCGUAAAGCGCGCGCAGGCGGCCAUUUGCGUCCGGGGUGAAAGCCCGAAGCUCAACUUCGGGAUUGCCUUGGAUACGGAGUGGCUUGAGGAUCGGAGAGGCAAGGGGAAUUCCACGUGUAGCGGUGAAAUGCGUAGAGAUGUGGAGGAACACCUGUGGCGAAGGCGCCUUGCUGGCCGAUUUCUGACGCUGAGGCGCGAAAGCGUGGGGAG